This 443-nucleotide ribosomal RNA is filed under the name uncultured bacterium. RNAcentral's name for it is "partial 16S ribosomal RNA". It matches the Rfam family "Bacterial small subunit ribosomal RNA", at positions 338 to 795 of the family's 1533-position model. The record is from RNAcentral.
CCUACGGGAGGCAGCAGUGGGGGAUAUUGGACAAUGGGGGAAACCCUGAUCCAGCGACGCCGCGUGAGUGAAGAAGUAUUUCGGGAUGUAAAGCUCUAUCAGCAGGGAAGAAAGAAAUGACGGUACCGGAGUAAGAAGCAGCGGCUAACUACGGGCCAGCAGCCGCGGGAAUACGUAGGGGGCAAGCGUUAUCCGGAAUUACUGGGUGUAAAGGGAGCGUAGACGGGAAUGCAAGGCUGGAGUGAAAGGCGGGGGCCCAACCCCCGGACUGCUCUGGAAACGGGGUAACUGGAGGGCAGGAGCGGCAGGCGGCAUUCCUCUUGUAGCGGUGAAAUGCGUAGAUAUUAGGAGGAACACCAGUGGCGAAGGCGGCCUGCUGGACUGUAACUGACGUUGAGGCUCGAAAGCGUGGGGAGCAAACAGGAUUAGAUACCCUUGUAGUC